This 530-nucleotide ribosomal RNA is filed under the name uncultured bacterium. Its description in RNAcentral is "bacterial SSU rRNA". It matches the Rfam family "Bacterial small subunit ribosomal RNA", at positions 777 to 1304 of the family's 1533-position model. The record is from RNAcentral.
AAUAGAUACCCUGGUAGUCCACGCCGUAAACGAUGAGUGCUAAGUGUUAGGGGGUUUCCGCCCCUUAGUGCUGCAGCUAACGCAUUAAGCACUCCGCCUGGGGAGUACGGUCGCAAGACUGAAACUCAAAGGAAUUGACGGGGGCCCGCACAAGCGGUGGAGCAUGUGGUUUAAUUCGAAGCAACGCGAAGAACCUUACCAGGUCUUGACAUCCCGUUGACCACUGUAGAGAUAUAGUUUCCCCUUCGGGGGCAACGGUGACAGGUGGUGCAUGGUUGUCGUCAGCUCGUGUCGUGAGAUGUUGGGUUAAGUCCCGCAACGAGCGCAACCCUUGAUCUUAGUUGCCAUCAUUUAGUUGGGCACUCUAAGGUGACUGCCGGUGACAAACCGGAGGAAGGUGGGGAUGACGUCAAAUCAUCAUGCCCCUUAUGACCUGGGCUACACACGUGCUACAAUGGACGAUACAAACGGUUGCCAACUCGCGAGAGGGAGCUAAUCCGAUAAAAGUCGUUCUCAGUUCGGAUUGUAGG